This 253-nucleotide ribosomal RNA is filed under the name uncultured bacterium. RNAcentral describes it as "partial 16S ribosomal RNA". It matches the Rfam family "Bacterial small subunit ribosomal RNA", at positions 524 to 776 of the family's 1533-position model. The record is from RNAcentral.
UACGGGGGGGGCAAGCGUUGUUCGGAAUUACUGGGCGUAAAGGGCUCGUAGGUGGCCAACUAAGUCGGACGUGAAAUCCCUCGGCUUAACCGGGGAACUGCAUCCGAUACUGGAUGGCUUGAGUUCGGGAGAGGGAAGUGGAAUUCCCGGUGUAGCGGUGAAAUGCGUAGAUAUCGGGAGGAACGCCAGUGGCGAAGGCGGCUUCCUGGCCUGUCCCUGACGCUGAGACGCGAAAGCUGGGGGAGCGAACGGG